GACGAACGCUGGCGGCGUGCUUAACACAUGCAAGUCGAACGGAAAGGCCCUUCGGGGUACUCGAGUGGCGAACGGGUGAGUAACACGUGGGUGAUCUGCCCUGCACUUUGGGAUAAGCCUGGGAAACUGGGUCUAAUACCGAAUAGGACCACGCGCUUCAUGGUGUGUGGUGGAAAGCUUUUGCGGUGUGGGAUGGGCCCGCGGCCUAUCAGCUUGUUGGUGGGGUAAUGGCCUACCAAGGCGACGACGGGUAGCCGGCCUGAGAGGGUGACCGGCCACACUGGGACUGAGAUACGGCCCAGACUCCUACGGGAGGCAGCAGUGGGGAAUAUUGCACAAUGGGCGCAAGCCUGAUGCAGCGACGCCGCGUGAGGGAUGACAGCCUUCGGGUUGUAAACCUCUUUCAAUAGGGACGAAGCGCAAGUGACGGUACCUAUAGAAGAAGCACCGGCCAACUACGUG
Molecule: ribosomal RNA, 462 nt
Filed under: uncultured bacterium
Lineage: Bacteria
Description: partial 16S ribosomal RNA
Rfam family: Bacterial small subunit ribosomal RNA
Source: RNAcentral